GAUGAACGCUGCCAGAAUGCUUAACACAUGCAAGUCAACUUGAACUUCGGUUUGGGUGGCGGACGGGUGAGUAACGCGUAAAGAACUUGCCUCACAGAUAGGGACAACAUUUGGAAACGAAUGCUAAUACCUGAUAUUAUGAUUUUAGGGCAUCCUAGGAUUAUGAAAGCUAUAUGCGCUGUGAGAGAGCUUUGCGUCCCAUUAGCUAGUUGGAGAGGUAACGGCUCACCAAGGCGAUGAUGGGUAGCCGGCCUGAGAGGGUGAUCGGCCACAAGGGGACUGAGACACGGCCCCUACUCCUACGGGAGGCAGCAGUGGGGAAUAUUGGACAAUGGACCAAGAGUCUGAUCCAGCAAUUCUGUGUGCACGAUGAAGUUUUUCGGAAUGUAAAGUGCUUUCAGUUGGGAAGAAAAAAAUGACGGUACCAACAGAAGAAGUGACGGCUAAAUACGUG
Molecule: ribosomal RNA, 454 nt
Filed under: uncultured bacterium
Lineage: Bacteria
Description: partial 16S ribosomal RNA
Rfam family: Bacterial small subunit ribosomal RNA
Source: RNAcentral